GACUUCUACAUAACUUCUUCAUUGAUUUCCAAGUUUUCCUUCCUUCUUCAUUGUUCAAUGUCUGACCUCUAGUUAGAAAAAUGACCUUCCUUGAGAGGGAGAACCAUUAGUUAUCAAAGAUUCACAUAGUUCUGUUGUAAUUAAACUUCUAUAUUAAAAGUGGUAAGAAAAGUAACUAAAGACCAACAUUAAAUCUGUUUUUAAAAAAAGCAAGAAGCAAUGGCUGGCUGAUGGUUAAAUGUUUAUUUUAUCAAAGAUUGUUAAAAUAAUAUUAAUAGCUUUAGACUUUAGAGGAAUAAAUGUUUUUGACUAAAAAACAUUUCAAUAGAAUACUUCAUUCCUGUGUGGUUUUGAAUGAGGUACCAUUAUAUCACAUACUGAGAAUGGUUCUGUGCCCUGAUUCUUAAUUAAUUCCGAUCAGUCUUACUCUUUUACUGGAGAAGUUUGCCAGUUUAACCAGUAUGCUGUGAUAAUUUAAUAUGUUUCACAGAUAACUGAGGAGACAUGAGACCUGUCAUCCUGUCCAUGAACGUAUGU
This 537-nucleotide long non-coding RNA is filed under the name Bos taurus (domestic cattle). RNAcentral describes it as "long non-coding RNA NONBTAT018315". Lineage: Eukaryota; Metazoa; Chordata; Mammalia; Artiodactyla; Bovidae. The record is from RNAcentral.